CCCAAUAUCAUCCAUCGAUCCCCUCCACGAUUCACGUCAUUAUAGACAUUGAUAUGUUCGUUCGCGUGGGAGACAUGCUUCUAUUCCUCAAGGUCAUAGCGACACGUUACACUCUCAUCGACUUAUUAGCGUGCUUCCGUAUUGCCGAACACUCGCAAGCUCACCACAACAGGGCAGACGCUUUUCCCUCGCCAGAUGCACCGCUUGAGCCUCUUCCCCUUAAGCAGUUGGAGCGAUGAUGUGCGAUGUGGGAAUUCCAUGAGCAAAAAGAGAGACGAGGGACUUUGACAGUUGGGGGCCCACGCUUCCCUCCAGGAAUGUCGGUUAAAUAUUGUUAAUCUUUAUUGUUAGUAGGUGGGAGGGAUAUAGGUUGGAAGAAGGAUGGAGAGUUUGUAAAAAGAAUAUAGAAAUUGGUUUUUACUGUUGAAAUAGAACAAGAAAUUUAUGAUGAUUUA
Schizosaccharomyces pombe (fission yeast) is the source of this 455-nucleotide non-coding RNA. The record is from the annotation of a GenBank genome assembly. NCBI's taxonomy places the organism in Eukaryota, Fungi, Ascomycota, Schizosaccharomycetes, Schizosaccharomycetales, Schizosaccharomycetaceae.